AUGGUUAAGUUAGAAAGGGCGCACGGUGGAUGCCUUGGCACUAGGAGCCGAUGAAGGACGGGACGAACACCGAUAUGCUUCGGGGAGCUGUAAGCAAGCUUUGAUCCGGAGAUUUCCGAAUGGGGAAACCCACUGCUCGUAAUGGAGUAGUAUCCAUACUUGAAUACAUAGAGUAUGAGAAGGCAUACCCGGGGAACUGAAACAUCUAAGUACCCGGAGGAAGAGAAAGCAAAUGCGAUUCCCUGAGUAGCGGCGAGCGAAACGGGAACAGCCCAAACCAAGAGGCUUGCCUCUUGGGGUUGUAGGACACUCUAUACGGAGUUACAAAGGAACGAUAUAAGCGAAGAGGUCUGGAAAGGCCCGCCAAAGAAGGUAACAGCCCUGUAACUGAAAUGUUGUUCUCUCCAGAGUGGAUCCUGAGUACGGCGGAACACGUGAAAUUCCGUCGGAAUCCGGGAGGACCAUCUCCCAAGGCUAAAUACUCCCUAGUGACCGAUAGUGAACCAGUACCGUGAGGGAAAGGUGAAAAGCACCCCGGAAGGGGAGUGAAAUAGAUCCUGAAACCGUGUGCCUACAAGUAGUCAGAGCCCGUUAAAGGGUGAUGGCGUGCCUUUUGUAGAAUGAACCGGCGAGUUACGAUCCCGUGCAAGGUUAAGCAGAAGAUGCGGAGCCGCAGCGAAAGCGAGUCUGAAUAGGGCGCAUGAGUACGUGGUCGUAGACCCGAAACCAGGUGAUCUACCCAUGUCCAGGGUGAAGUUCAGGUAACACUGAAUGGAGGCCCGAACCCACGCACGUUGAAAAGUGCGGGGAUGAGGUGUGGGUAGGGGUGAAAUGCCAAUCGAACCUGGAGAUAGCUGGUUCUCUCCGAAAUAGCUUUAGGGCUAGCCUCAAGGUAAGAGUCUCGGAGGUAGAGCACUGAUUGGACUAGGGGCCCCUACCGGGUUACCGAAUUCAGUCAAACUCCGAAUGCCGAUGACUUAUCCUUGGGAGUCAGACUGCGAGUGAUAAGAUCCGUAGUCGAAAGGGAAACAGCCCAGACCGCCAGCUAAGGUCCCAAAGUAUACGUUAAGUGGAAAAGGAUGUGGAGUUGCUUAGACAACCAGGAUGUUGGCUUAGAAGCAGCCACCAUUUAAAGAGUGCGUAAUAGCUCACUGGUCGAGUGACUCUGCGCCGAAAAUGUACCGGGGCUAAACGUAUCACCGAAGCUGCGGACUGUUCUAACGAACAGUGGUAGGAGAGCGUUCUAAGUGCUGUGAAGUCAGACCGGAAGGACUGGUGGAGCGCUUAGAAGUGAGAAUGCCGGUAUGAGUAGCGAAAGACGGGUGAGAAUCCCGUCCACCGAAUGCCUAAGGUUUCCUGAGGAAGGCUCGUCCGCUCAGGGUUAGUCGGGACCUAAGCCGAGGCCGAAAGGCGUAGGCGAUGGACAACAGGUUGAUAUUCCUGUACCACCUCCUCACCAUUUGAGCAAUGGGGGGACGCAGGAGGAUAGGGUAAGCGCGGUAUUGGAUAUCCGCGUCCAAGCAGUUAGGCUGGGAAAUAGGCAAAUCCGUUUCCCGUGAAGGCUGAGCUGUGAUGGCGAGCGAAAUUUAGUAGCGAAGUUCCUGAUUCCACACUGCCAAGAAAAGCCUCUAGCGAGGUGAGAGGUGCCCGUACCGCAAACCGACACAGGUAGGCGAGGAGAGAAUCCUAAGGUGAUCGAGAGAACUCUCGUUAAGGAACUCGGCAAAAUGACCCCGUAACUUCGGGAGAAGGGGUGCUUCUUAGGGUGUUAAAGCCCCGAGAAGCCGCAGUGAAUAGGCCCAGGCGACUGUUUAGCAAAAACACAGGUCUCUGCGAAGCCGUAAGGCGAAGUAUAGGGGCUGACGCCUGCCCGGUGCUGGAAGGUUAAGAGGAGCGCUUAGCGUAAGCGAAGGUGCGAAUUGAAGCCCCAGUAAACGGCGGCCGUAACUAUAACGGUCCUAAGGUAGCGAAAUUCCUUGUCGGGUAAGUUCCGACCCGCACGAAAGGCGCAACGAUCUGGGCAC
This 2024-nucleotide ribosomal RNA is filed under the name Bacillus pumilus. RNAcentral's name for it is "partial 23S ribosomal RNA". It matches the Rfam family "Bacterial large subunit ribosomal RNA", at positions 1 to 2016 of the family's 2925-position model. The record is from RNAcentral. Lineage: Bacteria; Bacillati; Bacillota; Bacilli; Caryophanales; Bacillaceae.